GGGUGAGUAACACGUGAGCAACCUGCCCUGGACUCUGGGAUAAGCGCUGGAAACGGCGUCUAAUACUGGAUAUGAGCCUCUAUCGCAUGGUGGGGGUUGGAAAGAUUUUUUGGUCUGGGAUGGGCUCGCGGCCUAUCAGCUUGUUGGUGAGGUAAUGGCUCACCAAGGCGUCGACGGGUAGCCGGCCUGAGAGGGUGACCGGCCACACUGGGACUGAGACACGGCCCAGACUCCUACGGGAGGCAGCAGUGGGGAAUAUUGCACAAUGGGCGAAAGCCUGAUGCAGCAACGCCGCGUGAGGGAUGACGGCCUUCGGGUUGUAAACCUCUUUUAGCAGGGAAGAAGCGAAAGUGACGGUACCUGCAGAAAAAGCGCCGGCUAACUACGUGCCAGCAGCCGCGGUAAUACGUAGGGCGCAAGCGUUAUCCGGAAUUAUUGGGCGUAAAGAGCUCGUAGGCGGUUUGUCGCGUCUGCUGUGAAAUCCCGAGGCUCAACCUCGGGCCUGCAGUGGGUACGGGCAGACUAGAGUGCGGUAGGGGAGAUUGGAAUUCCUGGUGUAGCGGUGGAAUGCGCAGAUAUCAGGAGGAACACCGAUGGCGAAGGCAGAUCUCUGGGCCGUAACUGACGCUGAGGAGCGAAAGGGUGGGGAGCAAACAGGCUUAGAUACCCUGGUAGUCCACCCCGUAAACGUUGGGGACUAGUUGU
RNAcentral lists this ribosomal RNA (705 nucleotides) under Microbacterium imperiale. RNAcentral's name for it is "bacterial SSU rRNA". It matches the Rfam family "Bacterial small subunit ribosomal RNA", at positions 104 to 823 of the family's 1533-position model. The record is from RNAcentral. Lineage: Bacteria; Bacillati; Actinomycetota; Actinomycetes; Micrococcales; Microbacteriaceae.